This 207-nucleotide ribosomal RNA is filed under the name uncultured bacterium. Its description in RNAcentral is "partial 16S ribosomal RNA". It matches the Rfam family "Bacterial small subunit ribosomal RNA", at positions 1293 to 1500 of the family's 1533-position model. The record is from RNAcentral.
UCGGAUCGCAGGCUGCAACCCGCCUGCGUGAAGUUGGAAUCGCUAGUAAUCGCGGAUCAGCAUGCCGCGGUGAAUACGUUCCCGGGCCUUGGACACACCGCCCGUCACACCAUGAGAGUCGGGAACACCCGAAGUCCGUAGUCUAACCGCAAGGGGACGCGGCCGAAGGUGGGUUCGAUAAUUGGGGUGAAGUCGUAACAAGGUAUC